Malaya genurostris is the source of this 524-nucleotide long non-coding RNA. RefSeq lists it as uncharacterized. The transcript has 2 exons. The record is from RefSeq and is a predicted model, not a curated record. NCBI's taxonomy places the organism in Eukaryota, Metazoa, Arthropoda, Insecta, Diptera, Culicidae.
UCAGGACGGUUGCACUCGAUACUCAUGUUUCGUAGUAGGCUUGGAACGCUUCGUAAGAGAGGCAGUUUGAAAACUACAAGCACUUGCACACGGCCCCCAUCGAAAUAAUUGGUAUACUCUGCACCCGCCGUGCUCUGCAAAGGAAUCACCCGCCUAUAAAUUGUCGCCCUCUCGAUGGGUACUGCAUCAUUCGGAAGUGAAAGUAAUUGUGAUUGCAAGAUACGCGGAGCUGUUGAUUAGCGGGAUUGCUCAGUAUUGAAGAAUCGCGUAGAGUGAAUUUAUUGUAUUAAGGUGAUCAUUACAUCAACAAUCAAAAUGCCGUGUAAAUGCUGUGGAAAUGCAAAUUGCAAGUGCACUACUUGCUGUGGAACUGACAAACCGUGUGACUCAGGAUGUGCGUGCAACUGUCAGUGCAAGGUAGGAAAACCCUGCAUUCAACCUGGAUGCUGUUAGAUGCACAAGUUAUACUGAGUCAAUUCUGAUUGAUUGGAUUUUUUUCAAAUAAAUUCAUUUUUUCCUAACAA